UACGGAGGGUGCAAGCGUUAUCCGGAUUCACUGGGUUUAAAGGGUGCGUAGGCGGGUUGGUAAGUCCGUGGUGAAAUCCCCAAGCUUAACUUGGGAACUGCCGUGGAUACUAUCAAUCUUGAAUAUCGUGGAGGUAAGCGGAAUAUGUCAUGUAGCGGUGAAAUGCUUUAGAUAUGACAUAGAACACCAAUUGCGUAGGCAGCUUACUACACGAUCAUUGACCGCUGAGGCACGAAAGCGUGGGGGAGCAAAC
Molecule: ribosomal RNA, 253 nt
Filed under: uncultured bacterium
Lineage: Bacteria
Description: partial 16S ribosomal RNA
Rfam family: Bacterial small subunit ribosomal RNA
Source: RNAcentral